CUACUACAACAACGAGCCAAACAAGCAGCAGUACCACUAAAUCUACAUUAGAUGGACUCACACCUUCAGCAUCCACAGUCUCCACAGCUACAGCAGGGACAACAAUGGCAGAAACCAGUACAACUCUGGAUACCAGUAGUGUCACAUCUUCCCCAGCAGAUGGGAGCAAAUCUGGAUUUUCCAACAAAAACAAAGAUUUCCCCAUUAACAAGGGUAAAGACAGGUCGUGUCUGGACGGUAACCGUCGAUGCAAAUGUUCUUGCGAGACUUGAUGCCCGACGACCUAUCCUAACCUUAACCAUCUCGCGAGAGUUUCGCAAAUUGAGAGGCACCGUCCAUGGAUCAAUAUACUGUACAUUCAUGAGACACGACCCGAAGUCUGCAUUAUCAUUUACCAGC
RNAcentral lists this long non-coding RNA (399 nucleotides) under Cottoperca gobio. Its description in RNAcentral is "lncRNA (ENSCGOG00000020009.1)". Lineage: Eukaryota; Metazoa; Chordata; Actinopteri; Perciformes; Bovichtidae. The record is from RNAcentral.